UACGGAGGGGACUAGCGUUGUUCGGAAUUACUGGGCGUAAAGCGCACGUAGGCGGCUUUGUAAGUCAGGGGUGAAAUCCCGGGGCUCAACCCCGGAACUGCCUUUGAUACUGGGUAUCUCGAGUCCGAGAGAGGUGAGUGGAAUUCCGAGUGUAGAGGUGAAAUUCGUAGAUAUUCGGAGGAACACCAGUGGCGAAGGCGGCUCACUGGCUCGGUACUGACGCUGAGGUGCGAAAGCGUGGGGAGCAAACAGG
Molecule: ribosomal RNA, 253 nt
Filed under: uncultured bacterium
Lineage: Bacteria
Description: partial 16S ribosomal RNA
Rfam family: Bacterial small subunit ribosomal RNA
Source: RNAcentral